UUAAGGUCUGUGUGUGUUGUAACAAACAGAGUGUGAAUUGUAAUGUCCCUAUUGGGGAUCAAUACAGAGUAUAAAUAAGAUUAAUUAAAUCAUUUAAAAUGAAUAAAUAC
Molecule: long non-coding RNA, 110 nt
Organism: Etheostoma spectabile (orangethroat darter)
Lineage: Eukaryota; Metazoa; Chordata; Actinopteri; Perciformes; Percidae
Exons: 3
Source: RefSeq, a predicted model, not a curated record